ACUACGGGUGGCAGCAGUGGGGAAUAUUGGGCAAUGGAGGCAACUCUUACCCAGCAAUGCCGCGUGAAUGAAGAAGGUCUUCGGAUUGUAAAGUUCUUUAAUUGGGGACGAAAAAAAUGACGGUACCCAAGGAAUAAGCCCCGGCUAACUACGUGCCAGCAGCCGCGGUAAUACGGAGGAUGCGAGCGUUAUCCGGAUUUAUUGGGUUUAAAGGGUGCGUAGGGGGGCUGUUAAGUCAGCGGUAAAAGCCCGGGGCUCAACCCCGGCGAGCCGUUGAAACUGGCUGUCUUGAGAUGUCGAGAGGUAUGCGGAAUGCGCAGUGUAGCGGUGAAAUGCUUAGAUAUUGCGCAGAACUCCGAUUGCGAAGGCAGCAUACCGGCGGCGAUCUGACGCUGAGGCACGAAAGCGUGGGUAUCGAACAGGAUUAGAUACCCGAGUAGUC
This 442-nucleotide ribosomal RNA is filed under the name uncultured bacterium. RNAcentral describes it as "partial 16S ribosomal RNA". It matches the Rfam family "Bacterial small subunit ribosomal RNA", at positions 338 to 795 of the family's 1533-position model. The record is from RNAcentral.